RNAcentral lists this ribosomal RNA (1300 nucleotides) under metagenome. RNAcentral's name for it is "bacterial LSU rRNA". It matches the Rfam family "Bacterial large subunit ribosomal RNA", at positions 1635 to 2925 of the family's 2925-position model. The record is from RNAcentral.
UACACGACCGUACCGCAAACCGACACUGGUGCGCGAGAUGAGUAUUCUAAGGCGCUUGAGAGAACUCAGGAGAAGGAACUCGGCAAAUUGACACCGUAACUUCGGAAGAAGGUGUGCCUUUAGUAGGUGAAGUCCCUCGCGGAUGGAGCCCAAUGAGGUUGCAAAAAAUCGGUGGCUGCGACUGUUUAUUAAAAACACAGCACUCUGCAAACACGAAAGUGGACGUAUAGGGUGUGACGCCUGCCCGGUGCUGGAAGAUUAAAUGAUGGGGUGCAAGCUCUUGAUUGAAGUCCCAGUAAACGGCGGCCGUAACAAUAACGGUCCUAAGGUAGCGAAAUUCCUUGUCGGGUAAGUUCCGACCUGCACGAAUGGCGUAACGAUGGCCACACUGUCUCCUCCUGAGACUCAGCGAAGUUGAAAUGUUUGUGAUGAUGCAAUCUCCCCGCGGAAAGACGGAAAGACCCCAUGAACCUUUACUGUAGCUUUGUAUUGGACUUUGAACAGAUCUGUGUAGGAUAGGUGGGAGGCUUUGAAGCAGGGUCGCUAGAUCUUGUGGAGCCAACGUUGAAAUACCACCCUGGUGUGUUUGAGGUUCUAACCUAGGCCCGUAAUCCGGGUUGGGGACAGUGCAUGGUAGGCAGUUUGACUGGGGCGGUCUCCUCCCAAAGUGUAACGGAGGAGUUCGAACGUACGCUAGUUACGGUCGGACAUCGUGACGAUAGUGCAAUGGCAUAAGCGUGCUUAACUGCGAGACUGACAAGUCGAGCAGAUGCGAAAGCAGGACAUAGUGAUCCGGUGGUUCUGUAUGGAAGGGCCAUCGCUCAACGGAUAAAAGGUACUCUGGGGAUAACAGGCUGAUACCGCCCAAGAGUUCAUAUCGACGGCGGUGUUUGGCACCUCGAUGUCGGCUCAUCUCAUUCUGGGGCUGUAGCCGGUCCCAAGGGUAUGGCUGUUCGCCAUUUAAAGAGGUACGUGAGCUGGGUUUAAAACGUCGUGAGACAGUUUGGUCCCUAUCUUCCGUGGGCGCUGCAGAUUUGAGGAAGCCUGCUCCUAGUACGAGAGGACCGGAGUGGACGCACCUCUGGUGUAUCGGUUGUCACGCCAGUGGCAUUGCCGAGUAGCUAUGUGCGGAAGAGAUAACCGCUGAAAGCAUCUAAGCGGGAAACUCGUUUCAAGAUGAGAUCUGCCGGGGCCUUGAGCCCCCUGAAGAGUCGUUCAAGACCAGGACGUUGAUAGGUCGGGUGUGGAAGCGCAGUAAUGCGUUAAGCUAACCGAUACUAAUUGCUCGUGCGGCUUGACC